UUCGGGUCGCCGGCGAGUGGCAAACGGGUGAGUAACGCGUGGAUACCUGUCCUGCGGUGGGGAAUAACGUUUAGAAAUGAACGCUAAUACCGCAUAAGCCCUGCGGGGGAAAGAUUUAUCGCCAUAGGAGGGGUCCGCGUCGGAUUAGCUAGUUGGUGGGGUAACGGCCUACCAAGGCGACGAUCCGUAGCUGGUCUGAGAGGAUGAUCAGCCACACUGGGACUGAGACACGGCCCAGACUCCUACGGGAGGCAGCAGUGGGGAAUAUUGCGCAAUGGAGGAAACUCUGACGCAGCGACGCCGCGUGGGUGAAGAAGGCCUUAGGGUUGUAGAGCCCUUUUAGUGAGGAAGAUAAUGACGGUACUCACAGAAAAAGCUCCGGCCAACUCCGUGCCAGCAGCCGCGGUAAUACGGAGGGGGCAAGCGUUGUUCGGAAUUACUGGGCGUAAAGGGCGCGUAGGCGGUUUAAUAAG
Molecule: ribosomal RNA, 473 nt
Filed under: uncultured Magnetococcus sp.
Lineage: Bacteria; Pseudomonadati; Pseudomonadota; Magnetococcia; Magnetococcales; Magnetococcaceae
Description: bacterial SSU rRNA
Rfam family: Bacterial small subunit ribosomal RNA
Source: RNAcentral